RNAcentral lists this ribosomal RNA (447 nucleotides) under uncultured bacterium. Its description in RNAcentral is "bacterial SSU rRNA". It matches the Rfam family "Bacterial small subunit ribosomal RNA", at positions 355 to 825 of the family's 1533-position model. The record is from RNAcentral.
UCGGGAAUUUUGGGCAAUGGGGGAAACCCUGACCCAGCAACGCCGCGUGAAGGAUGAAGUAUUUCGGUAUGUAAACUUCGUAAGAAUAGGAAGAAUAAAUGACGGUACUAUUUGUAAGGUCCGGCUAACUACGUGCCAGCAGCCGCGGUAAUACGUAGGGACCAAGCGUUGUUCGGAUUUACUGGGCGUAAAGGGCGCGUAGGCGGUGUGUCAAGUCAGUUGUGAAAUCUCCGAGCUUAACUCGGAACGGUCAACUGAUACUGUCACACUAGAGUACAGAAGGGGCAAUCGGAAUUCUUGGUGUAGCGGUGAAAUGCGUAGAUAUCAAGAGGAACACCUGAGGCGAAGGCGGGUUGCUGGGCUGAUACUGACGCUGAGGCGCGAAAGCUAGGGUAGCAAACGGGAUUAGAUACCCAAGUAGUCCCUGAGCGGGCUGGCAAGGCGCAU